AAUGAACGCUGGCGGCGUGCCUAACACAUGCAAGUCGAGCGAGAAAGUCCCCCUUCGGGGGGGCGAGUAAAGCGGCGCACGGGUGAGUAACGCGUGGGUAACCUGCCCUUGAGUGGGGGAUAACCAGCCGAAAGGCUGACUAAUCCCGCAUACGACCGGCAGACACAAGUCUGUCGGGGAAAGAUGGCCUCUGCUUGCAAGCUAUCGCUCUUGGAUGGGCCCGCGUUGGAUUAGCUAGUUGGUGGGGUAACGGCCUACCAAGGCUGCGAUCCAUAGCCGGCCUGAGAGGGUGGACGGCCACACUGGGACUGAGACACGGCCCAGACUCCUACGGGAGGCAGCAGGUGGGGAAUAUUGCGCAAGUCGGGGGAAACCCUGACGCAGCGACGCCGCGUGAGCGAAGAAGGCCUUAGGGUCGUAAAGCUCUGUUUUAAGGGACGAAGAGCUACCUGGUGAAUAAGUCGGGUAGAGUGACGGUACCUUAAGAGAACGCCCCGCUAACUACGUGCCAGCAGCCGUAC
This 521-nucleotide ribosomal RNA is filed under the name uncultured bacterium. RNAcentral's name for it is "bacterial SSU rRNA". It matches the Rfam family "Bacterial small subunit ribosomal RNA", at positions 29 to 520 of the family's 1533-position model. The record is from RNAcentral.